CAAAACGACUCUCGGCAACGGAUAUCUCGGCUCUCGCAUCGAUGAAGAACGUAGCGAAAUGCGAUACUUGGUGUGAAUUGCAGAAUCCCGUGAACCAUCGAGUCUUUGAACGCAAGUUGCGCCCAAAGCCGUUAGGCCGAGGGCACGUCUGCCUGGGCGUCACG
This 164-nucleotide ribosomal RNA is filed under the name Bacopa monnieri. RNAcentral's name for it is "5.8S ribosomal RNA". It matches the Rfam family "5.8S ribosomal RNA". Rfam says of the family: 5.8S ribosomal RNA (5.8S rRNA) is a component of the large subunit of the eukaryotic ribosome. It is transcribed by RNA polymerase I as part of the 45S precursor that also contains 18S and 28S rRNA. Functionally, it is thought that 5.8S rRNA may be involved in ribosome translocation. The record is from RNAcentral. Lineage: Eukaryota; Viridiplantae; Streptophyta; Magnoliopsida; Lamiales; Plantaginaceae.